GUCAAUUCAGUGACGCACUCCAGACAUAGAGUCCCUAUUUAAGCAGAAUCCUACCUAACCUGAUGCUGAAACAUAAUGGCCAAAAGGGCCUUAAAGAAAGACAAGUAUCACCAAUAAUCUGGCUUCUGAUCAAUCUGUAAUAUGCAGAAGUUUUUCAGAUCUAAAUAAUCAUAUGAUAUUUUGACUAGGACACCAUCAUGAAGAUUACUUCUGUUUAAGAAGGGAGCAUUAGUCACAGAAGUGAAAUCCAGUUGAAAUGCU
RNAcentral lists this long non-coding RNA (261 nucleotides) under Bos taurus (domestic cattle). Its description in RNAcentral is "long non-coding RNA NONBTAT012803". The record is from RNAcentral. Lineage: Eukaryota; Metazoa; Chordata; Mammalia; Artiodactyla; Bovidae.